GACGAACGCUGGCGGCGUGCUUAACACAUGCAAGUCGAACGGAAAGGCCCUGCUUUUGUGGGGUGCUCGAGUGGCGAACGGGUGAGUAACACGUGAGUAACCUGCCCUUGACUUUGGGAUAACUUCAGGAAACUGGGGCUAAUACCGGAUAGGAGCUCCUGCUGCAUGGUGGGGGUUGGAAAGUUUCGGCGGUUGGGGAUGGACUCGCGGCUUAUCAGCUUGUUGGUGGGGUAGUGGCUUACCAAGGCUUUGACGGGUAGCCGGCCUGAGAGGGUGACCGGCCCAAUGGGGAUGGGGAAAGGGCCCAGAUCCCAAGGGGGGGAAGGGGGGGGGAAAAUUGAAAAAGGGGGGGAAGCCGGAGGCAGAAACGCCGGGGGGGGGAGGAGGGCCUUGGGGUUGUAAACCGCUUUGGCCUGGGACGAAGGGGGGGGGAGGGGAAUGGGGAAAAAAGCACCGGCUAAAUAGGG
This 467-nucleotide ribosomal RNA is filed under the name uncultured bacterium. RNAcentral describes it as "partial 16S ribosomal RNA". It matches the Rfam family "Bacterial small subunit ribosomal RNA", at positions 28 to 506 of the family's 1533-position model. The record is from RNAcentral.